Molecule: ribosomal RNA, 52 nt
Filed under: Vibrio parahaemolyticus
Lineage: Bacteria; Pseudomonadati; Pseudomonadota; Gammaproteobacteria; Vibrionales; Vibrionaceae
Also listed under: 2 other names
Description: partial 23S ribosomal RNA
Source: RNAcentral
GUUGUAUGGUUAAGUGACUAAGCGUACACGGUGGAUGCCUUGGCAGUCAGAG